This 76-nucleotide small RNA is filed under the name Xanthomonas citri pv. aurantifolii. RNAcentral describes it as "sX9". The record is from RNAcentral. Lineage: Bacteria; Pseudomonadati; Pseudomonadota; Gammaproteobacteria; Lysobacterales; Lysobacteraceae.
AGGUAGCACACGUGCACUCCGGCUUCUGCGCCCGCCCGCGCCCACCUGGUGGCUGAUUCGCUCCGUUUCGGUAGCC